GACGAACGCUGGCGGCGUGCUUAACACAUGCAAGUCGAACGGAAAGGCCCUGCUUUUGUGGGGUGCUCGAGUGGCGAACGGGUGAGUAACACGUGAGUAACCUGCCCUUGACUUUGGGAUAACUUCAGGAAACUGGGGCUACUACCGGAUAGGAGCUCCUGCUGCAUGGUGGGGGUUGGAAAGUUUCGGCGGUUGGGGAUGGACUCGCGGCUUAUCAGCUUGUUGGUGGGGUAGUGGCUUACCAAGGCUUUGACGGGUAGCCGGCCUGAGAGGGUGACCGGCCACAUUGGGCCUGCGAUACGGCCCAGACUCCUACGGGAGGCAGCAGUGGGGAAUAUUGCCCAAUGGGCGGAAGCCUGAUGCAGCAACGCCGCGUGCGGGAUGACGGCCUUCGGGUUGUAAACCGCUUUCGCCUGUGACGAAGCGUGAGUGACGGUAAUGGGUAAAGAAGCACCGGCUAACUACGUG
Molecule: ribosomal RNA, 468 nt
Filed under: uncultured bacterium
Lineage: Bacteria
Description: partial 16S ribosomal RNA
Rfam family: Bacterial small subunit ribosomal RNA
Source: RNAcentral